GGUCAAGUUAAUAAGGGCGCACGGUGGAUGCCUUGGCACUAGGAGCCGAUGAAGGACGUAGGAGGCUGCGAUAAGCCUCGGGGAGCUGUCAACCGAGCAUUGAUCCGAGGAUUUCCGAAUGGGGAAACCCGGCUGGAGUCAUGUCCAGUCACCCAUACCUGAACACAUAGGGUAUGCGGAGGGAACGUGGGGAAGUGAAACAUCUCAGUACCCACAGGAAGAGAAAGCAACCGCGAUUCCGUUAGUAGUGGCGAGCGAAAGCGGAAGAGGCCAAACCAGUUACACGUGAUAGCCGGCAGGCGUUGUGUAUCUGGGGUUGUGGGGCCGCUUAGUAGGUUCUGCCGAAUCUACAAGGAGUAAGAAAACAACGUGGUUAGUCGAAGCGAUUGAAUGUCGCGGCAUAGAGGGUGAAACCCCCGUAGACGAAAACCCGUUGUCUCCUUAGCGUUACCCCAAGUAGCAGCGAGCCCGUGAAAUUCGCUGUGAAUCUGGCGGGACCACCCGCUAAGCCUAAAUACUACCUAGUGACCGAUAGCGGACAAGUACCGUGAGGGAAAGGUUAAAAGCACCCCGGGAGGGGAGUGAAAUAGAUCCUGAAACCGCGCGCCUACAAGCCGUUGGAGCGUCGUUACACGCUUGCGUGUAAUCGUGACAGCGUGCCUUUUGAAGAAUGAGCCUGCGAGUUAGUGGUAUGUGGCGAGGUUAACCCGUGUGGGGAAGCCGUAGCGAAAGCGAGUCUGAAUAGGGCGAAUUAGUCGCAUGCUCUAGACCCGAAGCGAAGUGAUCUACCCAUGGCCAGGUUGAAGCGCGGGUAAGACCGCGUGGAGGACCGAACCCACCAGGGUUGAAAACCUGGGGGAUGAGCUGUGGGUAGGGGUGAAAGGCCAAUCAAACUUCGUGAUAGCUGGUUCUCCCCGAAAUGCAUAUAGGUGCAGCGUCGCGUGUUUCUUGCCGGAGGUAGAGCUACUGGAUAGCCUAGGGGGCUCACAAGCUUACCGAAGUUAGCCAAACUCCGAAUGCCGGUAAGUGAGAGCGCGGCAGUGAGACUGCGGGGGAUAAGCUCCGUAGUCGAGAGGGAAACAACCCAGAACACCAGCUAAGGUCCCCAAGCGUGUGCUAAGUGGGAAAGGAUGUGGAGUCGCACAGACAACCAGGAGGUUGGCUUAGAAGCAGCCACCCUUUAAAGAGUGCGUAAUAGCUCACUGGUCAAGUGAUUCUGCGCCGACAAUGUAACGGGGCUCAAGCACACCACCGAAGCUGUGUCAUUCACGCAAUAUUCUGCUUUCGAGCCAGAAGUGUGGAUGGGUAGGGGAGCGUCGUGUGCCGGGUGAAGCGGCGGGGGAACCCAGCCGUGGACGGCACACGAGUGAGAAUGCAGGCAUGAGUAGCGAAAGAGGAGUGAGAAACUCCUCCGCCGGAUGACCAAGGGUUCCUGGGCCAGGCUAAUCCGCCCAGGGUAAGUCGGGACCUAAGGCGAGGCCGACAGGCGUAGUCGAUGGACAACGGGUUGAUAUUCCCGUACCCGCAAAAGAGCGCCCAUGACGAACUUAGCGAUGCUAAGUGCCCAAAGCCGGACGUUCCUUCGGGAACCGAUGGUUGCGCGCACGAACCGAACUAGUAGUAGUCAAGCGAUGGGGUGACGCAGGAAGGUAGUCGUACCAGUCAGUGGUAAUACUGGAGCAAGGUUGUAGGGCGUUGAGUAGGCAAAUCCGCUCAACAUGUGCCUGAGAACCGACGCAUAGCCGAUUGGGGCGAAUUCGAUGAUCCUAUGCUGCCAAGAAAAGCCUCUAGCGAGCUCUUAGCGGCCCGUACCCCAAACCGACACAGGUGGUCAGGUAGAGAAUACUAAGGCGAUCGAGUGAACCAUGGUUAAGGAACUCGGCAAAAUGCCCCCGUAACUUCGGGAGAAGGGGGGCCGCUUCGCGUGAUCAGGUCUUGCAUCUGAGAGCGCGGGACGGCCGCAGAGACCAGCGAGAAGCGACUGUUUACUAAAAACACAGGUCCGUGCGAAGUCGCAAGACGAUGUAUACGGACUGACGCCUGCCCGGUGCUGGAAGGUUAAGAGGACGGGUUAGCACUUCGGUGCGAGGCUCAGAAUUUAAGCCCCAGUAAACGGCGGUGGUAACUAUAACCAUCCUAAGGUAGCGAAAUUCCUUGUCGGGUAAGUUCCGACCUGCACGAAUGGCGUAACGACUUCUCGACUGUCUCAACCGUGGACUCGGCGAAAUUGCACUACGAGUAAAGAUGCUCGUUACGCGCGGCAGGACGGAAAGACCCCGGGACCUUUACUAUAGCUUGAUAUUGGUGUUCGGUUCGAAUUGUGUAGGAUAGGUGGGAGACUUUGAAGCUCACACGCCAGUGUGGGUGGAGUCAACGUUGAAAUACCACUCUGUUCGAAUUGGAUGUCUAACCUCGGUCCGUAAUCCGGAUCAGGGACAGUGUCAGGUGGGUAGUUUGACUGGGGCGGUCGCCUCCUAAAAUGUAACGGAGGCGCCCAAAGGUUCCCUCAGCCUGGUUGGCAAUCAGGUGUUGAGUGCAAGUGCACAAGGGAGCUUGACUGUGAGACUGACAGGUCGAGCAGGAGCGAAAGCUGGGACUAGUGAUCCGGCACUGGCUUGUGGAAGCGGUGUCGCUCAACGGAUAAAAGGUACCCCGGGGAUAACAGGCUGAUCUUCCCCAAGAGUCCAUAUCGACGGGAUGGUUUGGCACCUCGAUGUCGGCUCGUCGCAUCCUGGGGCUGGAGUAGGUCCCAAGGGUUGGGCUGUUCGCCCAUUAAAGCGGCACGCGAGCUGGGUUUAGAACGUCGUGAGACAGUUCGGUCCCUAUCCGCCGCGCGCGCAGGAGUCUUGAGAAAGGCUGUCCCUAGUACGAGAGGACCGGGACGGACGAACCUCUGGUGUGUCAGUUGUCCUACCAAGGGCACUGCUGAUUAGCUACGUUCGGAAGGGAUAACCGCUGAAAGCAUCUAAGCGGGAAGCUCGUUUCAAGAUGAGGACUCCCAUCCUUUAUGGAGUAAGGCCCCCGGCUAGACCACCGGGUUGAUAGGCCGGAAGUGGAAGUGCAGCAAUGCAUGGAGCUGACUGGUACUAAUAGGCCGAGGACUUGCCACA
RNAcentral lists this ribosomal RNA (3110 nucleotides) under Jatrophihabitans telluris. Its description in RNAcentral is "23S ribosomal RNA". It matches the Rfam family "Bacterial large subunit ribosomal RNA". The record is from RNAcentral. Lineage: Bacteria; Bacillati; Actinomycetota; Actinomycetes; Jatrophihabitantales; Jatrophihabitantaceae.